CCCAAUUAAACCAUGCAUGUGUAAGGUAUAAAUAAUUCUACUUUGAAACUGCGAAUGGCUCAUUAUAUCAGUUAUAGUUUAUUAGAAAAAAUGUACUACUUGNNAUAACCGUAGUAAUUCUAGGGCUAAUACAUGAAUGAAUCCUCGACUUUGAAGAGGGGGGGUUAUUAGUAUGAAAACCAUAUGCUUCUGCAUGAUAGUGAGUAAUAAUAACCUUUCGUAUCCCAUGUUGUUAUAACGAUAGUUCUUUCAAGUUUCUGCCCUAUCAGCUUUCGAUGGGAGUGUAUUGGACUACCAUGGCAGUAACGGGUAACGAACAAUUUGGGUUCUAUUUCAGAGAGGGAGCCUGAGAGAUGGCUACCACAUCCAAGGAAGGGAGCGGGCGCGUAAAUUACCCAAUCCUGACAGAGGGAGGUAGUGACAAUAAAUCACAAUGCGGGACUAUUUAAUUUUGCAAUUGGAUUGAGAACAAUGUACAAAAGUUAUCGAUAAACAAUUGGAGGGCAAGUCUGGUGCCAGCAGCCGCGGUAAUUCCAGCUCCAAUAGCGUAUAUUAACGUUGUUGCAGUUAAAAAGCUCAAAA
This 582-nucleotide ribosomal RNA is filed under the name Blastocystis sp. Its description in RNAcentral is "SSU rRNA". It matches the Rfam family "Eukaryotic small subunit ribosomal RNA", at positions 38 to 633 of the family's 1831-position model. Lineage: Eukaryota; Bigyra; Opalinata; Blastocystidae. The record is from RNAcentral.